Long non-coding RNA from Molossus molossus (Pallas's mastiff bat), 745 nucleotides. RefSeq lists it as uncharacterized. The record is from RefSeq and is a predicted model, not a curated record. The transcript has 6 exons. Lineage: Eukaryota; Metazoa; Chordata; Mammalia; Chiroptera; Molossidae.
GGUGCGGCUCCGAGCCUGUGCACACCCCGCAGUCCUUGGACGAGGUCGCCUGCGCCCGGGUCCGGCGGAUGCAGCGCUCGCGGGUCAUGGCUCUCGCAGUCCGAGUCGUUUAUUGUGGCGCUUGAGGCUACAAGCCCAAGUAUCUUCAGCUCAAGCAGAAGCUAGAAGAUGAGUUCCCCGGACGCCUGGACAUCUGUGGCGAGGGGACCCCCCAGGUUACUGGGUUCUUUGAAGUAACGGUAGCAGGGAAGUUGGUUCACUCUAAGAAGGGAGGCGAUGGCUUCGUGGACACAGAGAGCAAGUUCCUGAAGCUGGUGGCCGCCAUCAAAUCCGCCUUGGCUCAGGCGAAUGUGCCCUGAGGCAGAGUGGUGACCUUGGCCCAGCCCCUCUCGGCAGACGCUUCAUGAUGGGAUGGACUGAAAUGCCUCUUGGAUGCCGGGUCUGUCCCUGAUGUUCUGCGGCUGUCGGGCGGGACCAAGAUGACUGUCCCUUGUCUUUGCCUGUGUGUGUGUGUGUCUCCCCGAGAUCCAGUUUUACACAAUGGCCCUUCCCCCUCCCCCCUUCCUCCAUCCCUCUCCCUGCAGUCCCCCAUGUCUCCCUGUCUCCCCUCUGGUGUUUGGGGUGGUCCAGCUCCAGGUUCCUUCCCCAGGAGGAGCCGAGAGAGGGAUCCUGAGGUGUGAGUCUCAUGUCUCAGCCACGUUUGCCGCGGUUCACAGCUCAAUAAAUACUGAACGAGUCUAACAGA